AGGCGCCGUCGCGGCCGCACGCCUGCCUCGCCGGAACAACCGCGCCCGGAUAACGCUCUCACGAGGCAUCCUCCACAGAACAAUGUGAUCACGAAUACAACGUUACUUAUGACAAUAUACAAUAAUAUAAUUGUGAUGAACAAAUGCAGGCGUCCAAGAUUUUCGAAUUAGAUAAAAAUUAAUGUAGAUUAGGAUGCGGGACGCUUAGUUUAAGAUGUUAUGGACUAAGACUAUGGUGUAAGCAGAAUGGCAGCGGUAGCCGGGCUUUAUGGCCUUGGCGACGAACAGAGGGGCAGGCAUCGACGAGGACAAAUCAACGCCGAGAGAUCAGAAUCCCGGGAUGAUAAUACAGAAGCGUCGCUGCCAAAACUAUACAACCAAGAAGAAGAACAAGGGAAGCCGCCUCAAAGCGGUGUCGUCACCUUUGAGCCGAUUGAUCAUGAUCAUGACUUAUGCGAGAGAGUCGUGAUCAACAUAAGCGGUCUCAGGUUUGAAACUCAACUAAGGACACUUAACCAAUUCCCGGAAACGCUGCUGGGAGACCCAGCACGAAGAAUAAGAUACUUUGACCCAAUACGGAAUGAAUACUUCUUCGACAGAAACAGACCAUCUUUCGACGCCAUUCUGUAUUACUACCAGAGUGGUGGUCGACUGCGAAGACCCGUCAACGUACCACUCGAUGUCUUCUCUGAGGAAAUCAAAUUCUACGAACUCGGAGAACAGGCCACAAACAAAUUCCGCGAGGAUGAAGGUUUCAUCAAGGAAGAGGAGAAGCCUCUGCCUUCCAAUGAACGGCAGCGCAAAAUCUGGCUGCUCUUCGAAUACCCUGAGAGCUCCCAGGCUGCCCGUGUUGUUGCUAUCAUUUCGGUGUUCGUGAUCCUCCUUUCCAUCGUCAUUUUCUGCCUUGAAACACUGCCAGAAUUCAAGCACUACAAAGUUUACAACACUACCACCAAUGGCACCAAGAUUGAAGAGGAUGAGGUCCCCGAUAUCACCGACCCAUUCUUCUUAAUAGAAACCUUGUGUAUCAUCUGGUUUACGUUCGAGUUGAUUGUGAGAUUUUUAGCAUGUCCGAACAAAUUUAACUUCUUCAGAGACGUGAUGAACAUAAUAGAUAUCAUAGCUAUUAUUCCCUACUUCAUCACGCUUGCUACCGUCGUUGCUGAAGAAGAGGACACGCUAAAUCUGCCUCGAGCUCCGGUAUCCCCUCAAGACAAGUCCACGAAUCAAGCGAUGAGCUUAGCAAUCCUGAGAGUGAUUCGUCUUGUUCGAGUCUUCCGGAUCUUCAAGCUCUCUCGUCAUUCCAAGGGUCUGCAAAUUUUAGGACGUACCCUCAAAGCAUCUAUGAGAGAACUCGGACUGUUAAUAUUCUUUCUCUUCAUCGGUGUGGUGCUGUUUUCGUCUGCGGUGUACUUCGCGGAAGCGGGAAGCGAAAAUAGCUUCUUCAAAUCGAUACCUGAUGCGUUUUGGUGGGCGGUCGUUACCAUGACGACCGUGGGAUACGGAGACAUGACGCCUGUUGGAGUUUGGGGAAAAAUCGUGGGGUCUUUGUGUGCAAUUGCUGGUGUACUUACCAUCGCACUGCCUGUGCCCGUCAUCGUGUCCAACUUUAACUACUUCUACCACCGUGAAACUGAUCAGGAGGAGAUGCAGUCGCAGAACUUCAACCAUGUUACCAGUUGUCCGUACUUACCAGGAACCCUGGGCGAACCAUACUUAGUUUCAGGACCAAUCAAGAAGUCCUCAGUUAGCGAUGACUCAUCAUCCGAUAUGAUGGAAUUAGAGGAAUCGGCUCUAGUAACUGAUCCCCACUUGGAGACCAACCUUCGGCGGUUACGUGAGGAAGGAAGGUUGCUCCUUGAGCAGAAAAAGGUCAUGGAGGCUGCUGGUACUAGUGAUGAUAUCGCAACCCUAGAACUACUUGAUGCAAUACGGCUGAAUCAGAUAAAACAACAAGAGCUGGGGAAGCAACAAGCUGCAUUGGCGAAGCGCAAUUCCCGAGCCCACUGCAUGGACGCACGCCGUGACCAGCGCAGGCGCACCCAAUGCAACGUACGAAUCAACCAAUUGCAUAGCGCGAGUGCACCUGAAUCUAUAGAAACAGACGUCUGACCUACGGUUGAAGUAGAAGUACUCGUUCAUCAUCCCGCGGGAAAUUAAAUCUGAAAGGCGAGUCGGGAAAUAACUUGCGGUGUCUGGCGCGGACGACUGCCAGCUCGUUCGCCUCCUGCCUGCCACGUGUGACCCUCCCCCCGCUUCCCACUCAGCCUUACCUCAUUAGACUCUCGAGGACUUUACGUGCUUCUACGAAUUAGUUAGAAAUUAGCCAUUAUUAUAAACGCUUGUACCAUAUGAGAACAGAUUUAGUAAUAGUUUCAUUUAUCUCCAUCUUUAAUUGUGUGUAACAUUUGGAUUGAUUUAAGACAAAAGACGACGUGAUUUUCCUUUUAUUAUGAUUAGGUACCUCUAGUCCAAUCACAAGUAAACAAAAGGUGCUCGCUUAAUAUAAAAACGCCCCGGUAUAAGGGUGUAUGUAAUCAAAAUAAAAAAUUAUAUACUGGUAGGUUUCUAUGCCCUACGCUUUGAAUAACUUUAAACCAUUCUGUCGGUUUGAUUCAGAUGUCAGAUUUCACGUUAUCAAUUGGUUGUUUUAAAAUUAUUUCAAAAAGCAUUAUAACUUUCUUUAAAUAAUAUGAUAAACCAACCUUGAAGUGUUAGGUAUUAUACAUAUCACACUUUGCUGCAGUGAGCUGCAUACUAGUAGCUGAUGAGUGACCAACACAAUACUCAUAUACCCACAUGUGGAUGACUUGGAACUGGCCAUGCGAUUCUCUACAAGUAUAAUUUUAUACUUGUUGAAGCUCUAAUUACGAUGUAUACAAACUAUAAAGUCUCAAAAGAAAUUGGACAUGAUUACCUUAUUUAGUGCUGUUGACACAAUUUGAAUAUGUACCCUGCUAUAUAUGUAUAAUUAAAGAUGGAAAUAAAUAUUUUUAAAGGCUUAUUCCGCUUCAACACUUACAGCUACACACUUCGACACUUCUGUAAUAUUAGGAAUUGUUCUUCAGAAAUAUGUAAUUGAAAUAGGCCUACAAUUAUUAGAUGGUACAAUUAGGACUCUGGUAUAUGACAAUACAAAGGAUGUGACAAGGGGCUAGUGUGCCUAAAACGGAUUUUGAAAAACACAGUUAUUGACGUAAAAUAAGAAUCGCUUUGUUAAACAUCUAAUUAGCGCCACAAGACUUUCGAUAAUAAUUGUCGAAUCGAAUUAUAUUCUGACAAUUAAUGCCUCUGUAGAUGCUACUAUUGGUAUAUAUUGGAUAGAAAUAGGAUGUCUGAAGUUCGGAUUUAUAAGAGAUCGUAAUAUUUCAAUGUUUGUUGUUGCAUAAAACGGUGCUAAGCGAUGGGAAAGGCGUCCUAAAUCUAUGCUUUGUAUGCAAUCUUUUUGAUGGAAAGUAUCGUUUGAAUGAGGUGAAUGUGGAAAAUGGCUAUGGUGAGGCAUUUAGAACGAGGUUGAAGGCAAGGAAAACGUAUUUAUAUUGAAUGUUGUGAUUCUAUGGGCAAUCGCCGACUGUACUUGUAACACCCUCAAUAAAACAUAAUAGUAAACCGUGUAGUUGUAGGGGAUCAAUGUCGUUUUACGAUAAGUGUUUAUUUAAUGGAAAGCAGAGGUUGUGAUAAUUCCAGUAUUGCAUAUCCCAGUGCAGCUAAGAUUUAAUGCGUGUCAACGAUGAGCAAUAAGUUCAUAUCAGGCGAUCUUGUAUUUAAAUUGCGUCAAUUUUCUCUCUAAAUUUAUAGAUAACGUCAAUAAUUCAGAGUUCGCUUGCUUUACAUUUAAAACUUACAUAUCGUGUGAGCGGAUUCGAUUGUAUUUAAAAUGGAAUGUUAUCGGAGACUUUUAUGAUGGAAGUUUAUCAUCUCAAAUUCGUUGUCAAUUUGCUUGUGUGUAGGCGUAGAAAUAUCGCUUUGAUUAUAAGCAUUAUUGAGAAUGAGCAACCAAACUUCUAAAGCAUUUGUGUGCCACAUUGAUUCCACGUGCCUAUUUCCUUUUUAACAACUAUAAAUGUUUCCUUCUCGAUAUAUGCUGUUUGAUGGUGUGUUCUCAAUAUUGCUUAUAUCAAAAGAAGUUUUAAAUGUUCAAAGAUAAAUAAUUUUUCCCAUAUCAUUAUACAUGUCAUAGCGGUAAACAUUAAAUAUUACUCGUUUAUUCUCUUAGAUUAAAUUAGUGUUAAGUGAUAAGAUUAAGGAUAUUUGUGUCUAUGUUUGGGAUUAAGUUUUAUGUAACAAAAGCUGCCAAAAUAUCGCUUGGAUUUUAAAAAUAACCGAUAGUUUUUUAUAACAGUAGGCCCCAAUAUGCGAAUAUAAGACAAUCUGUGUCGCCUGACAAUUUCCUUCAUUGAAUAGUUAUUACAUCACGACAAAACAUUUUUUACAUUUCUAACAGUCACAUAAAACCUAUUCUAAUGAAAUCAUAGGGCCUGCUGCAAAAAAUAAAAAAAAAAUACAUUUUAAACUCUCAAUUUAGAAUAAGUUCACGAUCAGAUAAAAUAUAUUUCAUUAAUAGAUCAACCUUCGUGGCUGCCAAGCUAUAUAAUUGUUUCGGAUUGGGCACAAGGUAAAUAAAUAAUCAAAAUCCUACCUAACCUUAUUAGGCUUUUACGGUACACUGCAUUUCAAACCAUUCAUACAAAUAUUUAAAUUACGUAAUAAAACUCCUUAUUUAUGAGUAAUAAUAUAUAGAAUUUAAACGAAUACAAGUAUAUUCUCGCACAUGCUUUGUAUUCGAAUUUAAACUCAAAGGCUGUCUUAGACUUCAUUUGGAUGCACAAAAGCCAUCGAGGUUGUUGCAAGUACAGAUACCUAUGUGUCAAUCUAUAUAUGUUAAAUUGUAGGUAUAUGUGUCUAUAUAGUCAGUAGCGCACGGGUCCACUGACUGACGAGUUACAGGAAUUAAUAGGUGAAAGUCGGAUUAUAUUAAUUUUAGCGUAAGACUAGUGGAGAACAAUGUUUAACACUAUUACGUCUGUAAAGGCAUUUUUGUUGAAAACUGUCAAAACAAUUCGGAAUUUAUAUAAAGACAACAGAGACUUGGCAUAUUUACCUACCACCGCUAAACGAUUGGGAGGAGUUGUUUAUUCGUAUUGCCUAAUCUUCUCAAUGGUAAAUAUAAUUAAAUUACGAUUUAAAGCGCGAUAGUUAUCGACCAAUUUCUUAAAAAAAAUGUAUUUUAUUGAGGCGAGACUGACGUACAUUCCAAUAACUAUAAUUAUAGUAUAGAUGUGUCGCAAUGGAUUGUGAAUUACUCAUGUUGGCCAAAAUUGUAUUUACGCUCACUGCGUAUUAUAAUUUUUGCUCAGUAUUAUUAGUUGUAUCGAAGAAUGUAGUCACGGACCCGAUGCGUAUUAACACCGUUUACUCUCCUUUAUAUCUUGGCUUUUAUCCUUUAUAUCAAAAUGAACGUAAACUUUUAUAGGCAAGAUAUAAAGGAAGCAAACAAAAUAUCCAACUUCGUUUUAAAUGACUCGAAUGGAAUCUUGAAAUUAUCUUUCACUUCAAGAUUCUUAACAAUAAGUAGUUGACAUAUAUCUAGAUUUCACCCAGAUAAUUUUCUAUAAUAGUUAGGGCGAAGUUGGUUACUAUUAAUAUAUUUAGUCUGAAAAGACAGACUGUAUAUAAUAUGGUCUUUAGUAAACAACUGUAAUCAGUAAAAUUUUAUCUGUAUAUUUUAUUUUAAGGUCUAUAAUUAGAUAUAUGCAAACCUUACCGUAUAUCGACUGGGUAUACUCGUACUUCUGCUUGAGCAAUUAACGGUCUGUGAGCGGUUCACGUGUUCUCCGGAACUUGGACGGGACUCGUCUCGGUUGCGACAGCUUAUGCUUAAACAGACUAACAUAAGACAUGCUGAUUACAUUGACUCAAAGAAUUACUGUAUAAUUGAUACCCUACUUAGAUUUACGUGGUAAAAGGCAGAUUCGAGAUUUAGCGCGUAAUAAAACCCUGCAUGUCAAAACGUUUUGAGUUUGACAUUCGGGAGUAAUACUAAGUAUUGACUGUGAGUCCUGCACUUAUAACGCCAAAACACCAAAAUACGAAUUUUUUGUAUUAAACAAUAAUUUUGAAACAGAAUAGAUAUUUAAACGUUGAUUUGUAUUCAAUAUAUAUUUUCAAGCGUAAUUUAUAUUUGCGAUGUUUAUUUAUAAGUUUUUGCAUCAAUGUAAUCUGCGUACUAAGCGAAAAUAAUAAUUUCUUAACACUUGCCCCUCUCCGUCCAGGAAAAAGCGUGUUCAUAUUCUAUCACUUAAUUAUACAUAUUAUUUACGAUAUUUGCAAAUCACGUUUAAAAUUGACUGACUAUUCGGUUUCAUACUAAAACUUCAGUUGAAGAUUAUAGAAUUUAUUCAGCUGGCUUCACAAUUAUCGCGUAUGAUAAGAAUGGAAAUUUAGUAAUACCUAAUCUCUUACAUUAAAAUUUAAGGUUUUAUAAUGUUUAGAGCUUUUCUAGUAUACUUAAAAUGAGAUCUUAUGAGGUAAUCAGAAUUUUACGCGAAAUAACAUUUCCAUCCAGUAAUAAUUAGAAAAUAGAUAUAAUAUCGUGCGAUAUUUAAUUCCUAUAGUGCCGUAAAUUAAAUAGGUUCGAUGGCCGUAUACAUGUACAUGUACUAUGUAUGAUUUUCAUCCUCGUCCCGUCUUCUGUAUCAUUAUGCACCAAAUACUCUCCCAUAAUAUAAUGAUUAUCUGACUUUAAGCUCAUAAUAGCCGUAAAUAAUAUAGAAUUAAUCAAAGUUUUGGUUCUAUUUGAACUCGCAAAUGAGUAGAACUUCCUAAUUAACAGCUAAGUAAAUUCAGUAGAUAACUGUAUACACGAACGCCUUUUUUAUUUAAGAAUAAUCUUAUUUAGUAAAUACAAUUAGUGCGUGGACUUAUUUUUGAUUAGGAUCUCGUGUCAGUGCCAUAAUGGCUUACAAAAAUAUUUAGCCUUAUUGGUAGUCAGAUAUGAGGGGAAUUUAUCAUGAUACCACUAAAUAUAAAACAUGCAUGGUCCCGAUUAUCAAUUAAAGCUUCUAUCUAGAACGGGGUCAUAUAAGUUCAUAAAAUACAUUCUAUUUUAGGCGGCUGUCAUUUUGGUAAUCUAAUAAUUAAAUAAAGAAAUGUAAUUUAAAGUUUCGGAUUCCACGUGAACACGCAUUAAAGUACGUAUUUAUUACACUUUUAAUAAAAUAUAUUUUUCUUAAUUUUUAUAAUUGUACACAAUAAUUUAGAACACGUUUUGGAACACAGUGCCAUUGCGAUCACGCCGUGUUGUUCGUUCUUUGAUAAUAUUUGGUGAAGUGCCAAUGUUGUGUGGAGUUUAAAAAUAAAAAAUCUGUCUCGGAAGGUUAUAUCGGAGAACGAAGAACACCGCACCGUAACACUCAUGUAAGAUUACUACAAUAUUUUGUGUUGAUUUCAAAUAUCCAAUGUAAGAAUGGUUCACAUAUUCUGCUGCUAAAACUUUCUUCCUAGGUUAAGUGGCAAUAUAGAGUCACAAAAAUAUGUAUGUCGUUUCGUUACCUCUGUUUGAAUGUAAGAUAAAACUUUAAGAAAAAUUCAAUUUGAUUUUUUGCUGAGUUUAUAUUGUCACCUAAUAAGGAAUUCUUUAUCUUGGUGAGCAUUUUACACGUCUUAGAAGUUAAUAAUGUCAUACAUAUCACCAAUUUGAAGUGGUACCCCGAGGGUAAAAUCAGUUUUAGUAGUAUUUUAUAUCAAACAAUUUAAUUACAUUUCAACAAAAAAUAUAACGCAAAAGUAUAAGUUAUUAAAACAUAUUAUUAUUAUUAUGAAGCA
Pieris rapae (cabbage white) is the source of this 7824-nucleotide RNA transcript. It is a transcript of the gene named potassium voltage-gated channel protein Shaker, with no coding region annotated. The record is from RefSeq and is a predicted model, not a curated record. The transcript has 12 exons. Lineage: Eukaryota; Metazoa; Arthropoda; Insecta; Lepidoptera; Pieridae.